This 274-nucleotide ribosomal RNA is filed under the name uncultured bacterium. RNAcentral describes it as "partial 16S ribosomal RNA". It matches the Rfam family "Bacterial small subunit ribosomal RNA", at positions 523 to 796 of the family's 1533-position model. The record is from RNAcentral.
AUACGGAGGGUCCAAGCGUUAUCCGGAAUCAUUGGGUUUAAAGGGUCCGCAGGCGGUCAAUUAAGUCAGAGGUGAAAGCCCAUCGCUCAACGAUGGAACUGCCUUUGAUACUGGUUGACUUGAGUUAUACGGAAGUAGAUAGAAUAAGUAGUGUAGCGGUGAAAUGCAUAGAUAUUACUUAGAAUACCGAUUGCGAAGGCAGUCUACUACGUAUAUACUGACGCUGAGGGACGAAAGCGUGGGGAGCGAACAGGAUUAGAUACCCCAGUAGUCC